UGUACUGCUUUCGCUAGCAAACGCCAGUGCUUGCAUUUGAUUGGUCUAACGGCGUUUCUUUUGCUAAUUGAGAACACUCUUCAGUUUUAUUUUUGUUUCUGUGUAUUUUGUUGAUUUUGUUGUCGGAUUUGGUGGUAUUAGGCAAGGUAUUAGGCAUUAUUCAGUCACACAGUUCCCGUGGUAUUAUGGCUCAUUGCUGGCAGUGGUUCAGGAGACAGUCGUUCGAUUCCAGCUGUAGAACGUCACCUGCAGGAAGUAGCAUUAUGAUGGCCAGCCACGUGGCGCUUGUAUCCAGCCACAUUGUCCAGAAACCAUCACAUCAUCUCCAGGUCACUGGUCGCGGGUGCUCGAGCUGACUGUGUCUUCAACGGCUCCACGGUGACCAGCGCCGCCACCGCCGAGACCAUCCGAUUCCUGAAAUGAUAAUGGCCGUACACGAACAAGAGGCUCUAUGCAUCUAGUUGCGAGUCAAGCGCCAUGCUCAGAGGCGUCAUCCGGAGAAGGCCGCACAGUGCACUUUAGGCUGAGCUCUGGUGUAGUGCGCGCUGACGGAUAGGAUGAAAUUACGGGCCGGCCAUCAGAUUUCAGUGCGGGGAUCAAGAUGGUCGGAGCCGACGUGGCUUGGUUGAUGGUGUGUCAGGGACCAGGGUUGAUUGAAAGUGGAGGCGAGACGACCAAAUGUGAAGGAUACACCGAUACGGGUCUCGACGUCGUCUCGCAAUUUGUGCUAUGUAAUAUGACGGUUAUGCCGUGGUAUCAUUCACUCUCGAUGCGCUAAUAUGUAGUAAAUAGGACAGAGACUGGAAUUAAUAUUAUUAUAUUUGGAUGUAAGGGCCAGGUUUUGACCAGCGCUAUAUUAGAAAUCGUGAGCGUGCUAGUUGCAAUCAAUCGCGCGCUUCUUGCUGAGCAUCUGUGAGCGAAAAAAUACUUUCUCUGGAACGUUCGUCGUAAAAUAUGUGUAUCUUUGGAAUAAGUUGUCAGAACAUGAA
Molecule: long non-coding RNA, 989 nt
Filed under: Amphibalanus amphitrite
Lineage: Eukaryota; Metazoa; Arthropoda; Thecostraca; Balanomorpha; Balanidae
Description: uncharacterized LOC122387030, transcript variant X1
Source: RNAcentral